Phasianus colchicus (ring-necked pheasant) is the source of this 4752-nucleotide non-coding RNA. NCBI's taxonomy places the organism in Eukaryota, Metazoa, Chordata, Aves, Galliformes, Phasianidae. The record is from RefSeq and is a predicted model, not a curated record.
GGCCCGGCCCGCGCCGCCGCCGCGCCGCGCGGAAGAAAGGCUUCGCGGGUCUCGUCCGGCAGCGAGACGGCACCGGGUUAUCGUCCGCGCUCUGCGAGCGCCGAACUCGGCGCGGAUGCGCCUGCCGGUGGCCGAAAGCCCGCCCUGCUGCCGCCGCCGCGUGCGCGGCCCGUUUGUGAGGGCGGGCCCGGCGCUAAGCGGGAGCCGUUACCCGCCGGCCGAGCUGCGGGAGAACGGCCGGACGGCCAGACCGUAGGAAAAGCAGCUCGUCUCUCUGGACUCGUAGUCUGCCUUCGCGCGGUGCCUGCACUGCUAGCUUAAAGCCCGUUGCCGUCGCACCGUGACACCGGGCGGGUUCUCCCAGGUGCCGGCUGCACUCCUCUGCCGUAACGCCGCCAGCUCCCAUCGGCCCGCUUUCCCGCAGCGUGCAGCACCGCCGUUACCGCAGCGUCCUGCUGCCCUUAUCGUCGUUUCUCAGCAGUAACUGCCCACUUAAUCUUACAAGAAAUUAAAGAAGCUAAAUGCAAAAUGAGUAGUACAGUAACAGCAAUGAAUAAUCGUGCUCUGCACACAGCGAGUUAGAGUCACAACUUUAUUUUGAGAGGUUUUUUCUCUUGUUUAGCAUACAUUUCUCUGGCAUAAUCACUUGAAGACAGCCUGUGCCUGUUAUCACUCAUGUAACCCAAGUUGUUUAUUCACAUAUUCCUCUUUUCCUGUUGGAACAUUUAGUUGUUAUGUUCCAAAAACCCCAUGUUCUUCCUCUGCGAGUUCACAUUUUCGUGAAACAGUCCCUCUUUACUGGUGAUGCUACAAACUUUAGUACACUUAUCUAGAACCUGUUGAUCCAUUCACCUCAAGCUAGCUUUUCUUUUCCCAGGCACCCAAGCUUGUCUUCAGACAGAAUCAGAGCAAAAAACAGCAAGGAGGAAGUGCUUUUGACUCACAAAAAGUAAGGAAAUAUAAGUAAUGUAGAAAAGGAAGACGUUGGUGAUGGGCUUACCAAAAUACUAUGGGUAAGAACUUUGAAGGAAGACAGUUUACUGGCAUGAUUAAAUUCACACCACCAUUAUACAAACAACGUUAUGAGUUUGUUAAGGAUUUAGUGAGGAAAUACAAACCGAAAAAGGUGGCAGAUUUAGGAUGUGCUGACUGUACACUUCUCUGGAUGCUGAAAUUCUGUAGUUGCAUUGAAGUGUUAGCUGGGCUAGAUAUCUGUGCAGCUGUGAUGAAAGAGAAAAUGCAUAGGUUAACUCCUCUUCCUGCUGAUUAUUUGGAGCCAUCUGAAAGAUCCCUAACUGUGACUUUGCAUCAAGGCUCAGUUGCUCAUAAAGAUCCCUGCAUGCUUGGUUUUGACUUGGUAACAUGCAUUGAAUUAAUAGAGCACCUGCAAGAUUCAGAACUAGAGAAGUUUCCUGAAGUGGUGUUCGGUUUCAUGGCUCCAAGCAUGGUUGUGAUCAGUACUCCAAAUUCAGAAUUUAACACAUUGCUUCCGGGAGUGACUGUUUUCAGGCAUCCAGACCACAAAUUUGAAUGGGACCGAGCACAGUUUCAAAGUUGGGCUCAAGAUACUGCUCAACGCUAUGAUUACUCAGUGGAAUUCACAGGUGUAGGGAACCCCCCAACAGGAAUGGAAGAUGUCGGGUUCUGUACCCAAAUAGGUGUGUUUGUUAAAAAAUACCCUCAAACUAGAGAACCUGUGCUGUGUGAGAAACCCACUGAAGCAGCUUACAAAACCGUCUUCAAAGCAGUGUAUCCGAGCCUUAAAGAUGAGAAGUAUCUGCAGAAUGCAGUGGUCAGUGAAGUUAUGUUCAGAGCACAAAUCAUUAAGCGAAGUCUGCUGGCCCAUUUACUGUCAGAAUAUGAAGAAUAUGAUGAUCCUACAGAGAGAAAAUUGAAACUGCAAUGUUCAGUGAACUGUUCUUCAGAAGAUUUUGAAACAAUGACUGUUGAAAAAAGCAUGGAGCCAUUCAUCAGUGGAAAUGUGGUUUAUGUACCUCUGAGAAAAAUUUUUUCUUUUCCCAAAGUAAAUCAGCUCUGUGGCACUUUUGAGAAGUUUUGCAGGCUUAUUACUGGCAAAGUCACACUGAACAGUGAUUGUUCUGCUGUGAUGCUCGAUACCGAAAAUGAAAACGAAGAGAAUUAGAUUGGUUUUCUUACUUCAAGUUCAAUGUGUAAAAAUGACACAUUCAGUGUUGAGAGAGAGCUUAAAUGAGAUCAGACCCAGAAGGAGCGUUCAGUGUGUUCUGGCAUCAAAAACAGGAGAAAGUGGAGAAAGCACACAGGAAAAAAGAAGGUCGUGCUGUGUGGUCAUACAGGGAGUUCAGUCAACUAAUCCGUUGCUGACACUUGUACUGGUUCAACAGAAGAAGGCAGGCAAGAAUGAGCAGUUGGGUGUGGAGAAGGCAGAAAAUUACUUAUAGCAAGAAUUGGAGAAAAUCAUUUAUCUCCUGUGCUCAUCUUUCCCUCUGUUGUUUGCCCAUAUCAGAAGGUCCACAAAAUAUACCUGUGUGGUCACUGAUAGCAUUCACAGUUCUGGUGUUUCAUAUCUUUUUUUUUUUCCCCUUUAGAAAGAAAAUUAUUUAUCCUAACACUAUGUUUUUUUUCUUCAUAUAUUACAUGCAACAGUGGUGCACAGCCUUAUGUUAAUUCCUAAGCUCCUUUCCUUCUAGUGUUUGUUUUUGUUUUUUUUUUAGGAACCAUGUUGCAAAGAAUAUGUAUCAUUUAGAUAUCAUUUAUUGUAUAUCUGAGACAUUGGCAUUAAAUACAGCUAGAAAACAUAUCCCAAACAGUUCACAACAUGAGUGUCCAAUGUUCUUACAGCAUAGUUUACAAAAAAGAAAAUAGAUUAAGUACUAAGGUUGUGUUCUAUCUAAAAUAUGUGCAAUUCAGUAAUUACUUGGUUAAGAAUUGUAGCUUGAAGAUGAACAAUAAAAUGCCAGAACACAGCUUUAUUUAAAGCUCAAUUUCCAUGUAAAACUUUCUCCUAUUUAUAAAACUCUGCCCAGGCAAGAAAAUAACGGGUUUCUAGUACACAAAUAGCUUAUCUGUGACAGUUAGCUGUGGAUUUUAACAUAGAAGACAAAUCUGGGCUAUGGAAAUUCCCUUUCACAAUUACAUAUGUAGCUGUACAGUGUUUUUACAUUUCUUCUAGCUGUGCCUAGUUUUCCUAGUAAACUAGGAAAGUAUUAAUGGUUCUACUAGAUUGGUCAAAAAAGCAUAGCAGUGUUUACAAGUACUGAAGGCAACAUAAUGCAUUUUCCACGCAUCUUCCGGUUUGCAAUAGGUUGUGGCUUUUUUGUUGUUGUUUUUUUUUUAUAAAUUAGGAAAUGGUCAGGCUCUGAGAGACAGUAUACUAGCAAUCAGGUAUUGUCUGCCAUUUCCCCAAUGAAAUUUUAGAUAAUAUCACUCUUACAGCAGCUAGAAUAUAUUUGCAUUAAUUCUUUUUACCCAUAGAAAUGUUUAGAUUAUAGUUUACAGCAGGAAAUAUAUUGAAGUACCAGAAUAGAGAAAUAACUCAUUCAUCUUAUUCAGUAACACUACUCAAGCUUCAAACUCUGAAACUUCCUUAAAACCAAGUAAGUUUAAGGAACUACUAUGCAUUUAUGGAAAACUAAGUCUGAUUUUCCCUAAUUAAACCAGUUAAAUAAGGCCUACUUAUACUUCAAAAAGAUGUUAAACUUGAGUUUGAGAUGAAUUUAAAGCAUUCAGAGCUUUCUAAAAAUGGUCAUGCUAUUUGUAUUACUUAUUUUUUUAAUAAUUAUUGAUUAAUAAUACAAUCAGUCGUAACAAAAUACAAGUCAGCUGCGGAUAACGAUUAAGAUUACAGCAGAUCCAAGCCCAAACUGGAAAUAUGUCAUCAGAAGUACGUUAUUAGAAAUAUGGAUUCUUUCAAAAUUCUUAACAAAACUUUUAAUAAUUUUCUUUCUUCAUUCAUCUUUCUCAUCUGGCAGGCAAAUCACUAUCUGUGCAAAUGUAAGUACAGUCCAUUGUCCUUAAUGUAACAGUAGACGGAUAGUGAUGGAAUAAGUGUUCAACAUGAAAAGGCAAAUCUGUUGCACAAAAAUUCUUUUUAAGAGCGUAGAAUACGUCUAGAAUAAAGUGCUUAUCUUAAUAAGUUAUACUGGUAGUAGUUUAGAUGUUUACCUAGUUUUAAAGCUUAAAUAGUUUAAUAUCUCUGUACCUUCCCUAUCCCCUCAAGGCACCUUCCAACACAAGAAAAACACUAACUGAGGAGGGUUAAACUACAAUAAAAAGUUGAAAGUAGUAGUAAACUACUGAUGAGGUUUGUAAAUGGUACCAUCCCACUGAAUCUCUAGGUUUGUGCACAGAAGCAAGUUUCUGUGUAAGGGACUUCUGAACUCCGUCAUUAACAAUCCUAAGGGAAACAACCAGCAUUCUUGAUAGUAACUGCUGUGCAUUGGUAUUUUGAUAUAUCCUACUUGCUUUGUCACUUGUACAGUGCAUUUCAUAAUGUAAGCAUCUAGAUAUCAAUUAUAAUUAACACAACCUAUUACUGGCUGAUAUACAUCUACAGAAUCUUUUUUAACGCAUGCGAGUUUCACCUCCACUCUUCAUCCUUAAAAUGAGAUUAUGUUCAGUACUUUUCAGAAGAGAUUUUGGCUAUAUAAAACGGAGCUCUGGGGAAGCCAUAACCUUCACAUGAUAGUAGCUUUGACUUGAUAGAAGGAGGUAGCUUUUCUAAGGCUUUCAUAACAGGUAGCAUCAAAUUGAGUCUUAAUUCAUUUCUACGGG